RNAcentral lists this ribosomal RNA (262 nucleotides) under uncultured bacterium. Its description in RNAcentral is "partial 16S ribosomal RNA". It matches the Rfam family "Bacterial small subunit ribosomal RNA", at positions 99 to 354 of the family's 1533-position model. The record is from RNAcentral.
CGAACGGGUGAGUAACACGUGGGCAACCCUGCCCAAAAGAGGGGGAUAACACUUGGAAACAGGUGCUAAUACCGCAUAACCAUAGUUACCGCAUGGUAACUAUGUAAAAGGUGGCUAUGCUACCGCUUUUGGAUGGGCCCGCGGCGCAUUAGCUAGUUGGUGGGGUAAAGGCUUACCAAGGCAAUGAUGCGUAGCCGAACUGAGAGGUUGAUCGGCCACAUUGGGACUGAGACACGGCCCAAACUCCUACGGAAGGCAGCAG